This 468-nucleotide ribosomal RNA is filed under the name uncultured bacterium. RNAcentral's name for it is "partial 16S ribosomal RNA". It matches the Rfam family "Bacterial small subunit ribosomal RNA", at positions 28 to 507 of the family's 1533-position model. The record is from RNAcentral.
GACGAACGCUGGCGGCGUGCUUAACACAUGCAAGUCGAACGGAAAGGCCCUGCUUUUGUGGGGUGCUCGAGUGGCGAACGGGUGAGUAACACGUGAGUAACCUGCCCUUGACUUUGGGAUAACUUCAGGAAACUGGGGCUAAUACCGGAUAGCAGCUCCCGCUCCAUGGUGGGGGUGGGAAAGUUUCGGCGGUUGGGGAUGGACUCGCGGGUUAUCAGCUUGUUGGUGGGGUAGUGGCUUACCAAGGCUUUGACGGGUAGCCGGCCUGAGAGGGUGACCGGCCACAUUGGGACUGAGAUACGGGCCAGACUGCUACGGGAGGCAGCAGGGGGGAAUAUUGCACAAUGGGCGGAAGCCUGAUGCAGCAACGCCGCGUGCGGGAUGACGGCCUUCGGGUUGUGAACCGCUUUCGCCUGUGACGAAGCGUGAGUGACGGUAAUGGGUAAAGAAGCACCGGCUAACUACGUG